Molecule: ribosomal RNA, 429 nt
Filed under: Pseudomonadota bacterium
Lineage: Bacteria; Pseudomonadati; Pseudomonadota
Description: Proteobacteria bacterium partial 16S ribosomal RNA
Rfam family: Bacterial small subunit ribosomal RNA
Source: RNAcentral
UGGGGAAUAUUGGACAAUGGGCGAAAGCCUGAUCCAGCCAUGCCGCGUGUGUGAAGAAGGUCUUCGGAUUGUAAAGCACUUUAAGUUGGGAGGAAGGGCAGUAAGCGAAUACCUUGCUGUUUUGACGUUACCGACAGAAUAAGCACCGGCUAACUCUGUGCCAGCAGCCGCGGUAAUACAGAGGGUGCAAGCGUUAAUCGGAAUUACUGGGCGUAAAGCGCGCGUAGGUGGUUCGUUAAGUUGAAUGUGAAAGCCCCGGGCUCAACCUGGGAACGGCAUCCAAAAAUGGCGAGCUAGAGUAGGGCAGAGGGUGGUGGAAUUUCCUGUGUAGCGGUGAAAUGCGUAGAUAUAGGAAGGAACACCAGUGGCGAAGGCGACCACCUGGGCUCAUACUGACACUGAGGUGCGAAAGCGUGGGGAGCAAACAGG